This 392-nucleotide ribosomal RNA is filed under the name uncultured bacterium. Its description in RNAcentral is "bacterial SSU rRNA". It matches the Rfam family "Bacterial small subunit ribosomal RNA", at positions 28 to 417 of the family's 1533-position model. The record is from RNAcentral.
GACGAACGCUGGCGGCGUGCUUAAUACAUGCAAGUCAACUGAACUUGAGAUAGCAAUAUUUUAAGGGAGGUGGCGCACGGGUGAGUAACACGUAGGUAAUCUGCCUUUAGGUCUGACACAACCCCGAGAAAUCGGGGCUAAUAUCAGAUGAUGCAGCGGCUCGACAUCGAGACAGUUGUUAAACCUUCGGGGCCUAGAGAUGAGCCUGCGUCUGAUUAGGUAGUUGGCGGAGUAAAAGCCCACCAAGCCUGCGAUCAGUAGCUGGUCUGAGAGGAUGAUCAGCCACACUGGGACUGAGACACGGCCCAGACUCCUACGGGAGGCAGCAGUGGGGAAUUUUGGACAAUGGGGGAAACCCUGAUCCAGCCAUGCCGCGUGAGUGAAGAAGGCCU